The sequence is a transfer RNA, 82 nucleotides long. It matches the Rfam family "tRNA". Rfam says of the family: Transfer RNA (tRNA) molecules are approximately 80 nucleotides in length. Their secondary structure includes four short double-helical elements and three loops (D, anti-codon, and T loops).
GGCAAGAUGGCCGAGCGGUCUAAGGCGCUAGUUUUAGGCACACUAGUUCGAAAGAGCGUGGGUUCGAAUCCCACUCUUGUCA